This 491-nucleotide ribosomal RNA is filed under the name uncultured bacterium. RNAcentral's name for it is "partial 16S ribosomal RNA". It matches the Rfam family "Bacterial small subunit ribosomal RNA", at positions 29 to 507 of the family's 1533-position model. The record is from RNAcentral.
AGUGAACGCUGGCGGUAGGCCUAACACAUUCAAGUCGAACGGCAGCACAGUAAGUGCUUGCUCUUACGGGUGGCGAUUGGCGGACGGUUGAGGAAUACAUCGGAAGCUACUUUUUCGUGGGGGAUAACGUAGGUAAACUUACGCUAAUACCGCAUACGACCUACGGGUGAAAGCAGGGGAUCUUCGGACCUUGCGCGAUUGAAUGAGCCGAUGUCGGAUUAGCUGGUUGGCGGGGUAAAGGCCCACCAAGGCGACGCUCCGUAGCUGGUCUGAGAGGAUGAUCAGCCACACUGGACCUGAGACACGGUCCAGAACCCUACGGGAGGCACCCGUGGCGAACAUUGCACACUGGGGGCAAGCAGGAUCAAGCCAUCCCGCGUGAGUGACGCAGGCAUUCGGGUUGUACGCCCUUUUGUUGGGCAAGAAUAGCAGCAGGUUAAUCCCCCGCUGUUCUGACGGUACCCAAAGAAUAAACAACGGCUAACUUCGUG